Molecule: transfer RNA, 66 nt
Filed under: Elateroidea sp. BMNH 1274729
Lineage: Eukaryota; Metazoa; Arthropoda; Insecta; Coleoptera
Description: tRNA-Arg
Source: RNAcentral
UAAUAAGAAACAAAAGUUUGUAACUAAUUUCGACCUAGUUCUUGGUAAGAAAAUUACCCUUAUUUU